Molecule: long non-coding RNA, 1632 nt
Organism: Hyla sarda
Lineage: Eukaryota; Metazoa; Chordata; Amphibia; Anura; Hylidae
Exons: 3
Source: RefSeq, a predicted model, not a curated record
CAUGGAGAUCCCGUCAUCUCCUCACAAUGUUCAGUUUAAUAGAUUAUAUGACAAAAAAUGUGGCUUAUAAAAUAUUAUACAUAAAUGUUUAUGAAAUUAUUUCCUGCAUCUUUUAUUUUUAGUAUUUUUAUUUAUUUGGUGAGGAAACAAUGGCUCCUUCAGUCAGGAGAAUUAUGGGAUGUGAGCAAUUAUUUCCCUCAGUACCGCCAUCCAUCCCCAUAAGAGGAAACGGGAAACAAGAUAGCGGACAUAUUGGAAUGUCAUCCUUCCAGAGGAGUCCAAACUCAGGAAAUGCUUUUCUCCACAGAGCUUGAUUGACAGCUGCUCAGAAAGUGAAAGCUCCACAGAUUCUCACAGAAAGCUUCUCAGACUGAAAGGAGAGUCUCACUGAUAGCAGCACAGACUGAAACAUGCACAGCCUGAGGUCUUCUAUUCAUCACAGCACUGCAACCAUGUGAGGGCAGAAGUGGUCCCCCAGCAGGCUUCAGUGAUGUCAUGCCUGCUGGGAAACGCCCACAUUCUCCUGCUGGAAAAUUGCACUAUGAGAGCAAGAAGAAAGGAUCUUUGCUUGCUGUCAAUGAACAAAAACAUUCCAGAAGUUGAAAGAUAACCCAGUCCUGCUCACCCAGCUUUAUGGUUUCAUAAGGGAAAGUGUACAUGGGAUGAAACUGCAGUGGAUUUUUUCAGCGGACUUUUAAUGGGUAAGUCAAAAUCCUAAUUUCAAUCAGCAAGGAAAAAAUUGUUGCAGAUUUUAAAACCAUAUAGUUUUUUGUGUUGCGAACCCUUUGCUGCAAAAGUGAGUAGCAAAUAUGCUACUAAACUCGCACCAAACGUGUGGGUUCUUCACCUGGGUUGGGUACAGAGCACCCGGCCUAUGGAUUGUAAGAAAAUAAGUGGGGAUUCAUCACCAUUUGCCUCCUUUGGCCGUACACUAAACGGGUGCAUAGCUCACUGCUAUUUACUGUACAGUAGCCAUAUUUUAAUGACAGGAGUCCCUGCUCUGAAUAGGUCUCCCAUUUGGCACACCACCUGCUUCUGAGCGGGGCUUUUGGCUAUACAGCCAGAACACCCCUCAUUUUGACAGGUGUUCUGCUCCUCUACAGUAAGCAGCAAUAGAUUUAGUGUCUGGCCCCAAGAGUUAACCCUUUCCUGACUGACUGAGAAGGCAUACCAUGUAUGCCUUCUGGUUAAACCAGGCUAGGCACAGGGCUGUAUAGCUCAAGUAGCAGUUCAGGAAAAGGAGGCCAAGUCUUGUGCACCUACUGCUUUUGAGUAGGAAACCCCAUCCACAGCAGGGACUCCUAUACAGGAAACAGUGGUGCAAGGUUGUUUACUGGAUGCCCGACAGAGGUAAGUGGUGAUGCUAUGCAUCACCACUUACCUCCUUACAGUCUGUGGAACAGGCUACCUGCAUCCAACCCAUGCAGCUAAAUCUACAUGUGAAUAUACCUCUAAAUUGGCCCUGUCAUUUAGGACCUCCACUGAUCCGGAGAAUAAGCGGAGAGAAAGGCUUGCUAGCAUUCUUCAUUCUCUGCUUUGCAGCAAUCUACCCCUGCCUUCUCUGGACAGCGAUUGGAGAUCACUGCAAACCAGGGAGUAAAGCAUGCUACAGAUCACUUCUCCCCCUUGAGG